AAUGGCUUGAAAACGGGUGGC
RNAcentral lists this microRNA (21 nucleotides) under Panagrellus redivivus. Its description in RNAcentral is "prd-miR-7915-3p". Lineage: Eukaryota; Metazoa; Nematoda; Chromadorea; Rhabditida; Panagrolaimidae. The record is from miRBase by way of RNAcentral.